GGGCGCCGGGGGGAUCUCCCGGGCCACAUGCGCCUGUGCGUAAACUUCGCACCCCCGCCCCGCCGCUCGGAGGGGAGAGGAGAGGAGAGAAGGGAGAGCUGCGCUGCGGAGCGGGCAGCGCGGGGAGGCGGCCCAAGCCCCAGUGUGCGCUACUGGCUGAGCCCCGCUCCUCCGUCAGAUACAACGGCGGCCGCUGGGACCUGCUCCCUCAAAAGGGCUGGGGAGGAGAGUCGCGAGUGGCCGGAUAAAUACGGGGGAGGAGAAGGGCGUCUCUACCUCUCCCCACCUCCCUCCACCUCCUCCUCCCCCCCACCGCGGAGGGCGCGCUCGGAGCUGCCUCUGUCUGUCCGGGCGCCCGGGGCGUCUCCGCGCCCUUCCGCGGUGCGGUGCGCGCAGGCUGGGCGCGGGAGGCUGUGCUGCUGAAGGUGAAGCUCUCGCUCUCCAAUUACUUUUCCCAAGGGAGAGAAGAAGGCAGCAGGAGGGGGAAGUCGUGCUGUGUGUGGAAGGCACACCAAUCAGAGAUGCUCUAACGGAGGGACUGCUGCAGGACGCGCCGGAUUCUCCUCCUUCCUCUGCCGGCGGGGCUGAAUCGGGACCACGCACAGCUGGCGUAGGGGCCGGAGCCGUACUAGGCUGCAGGACUUCCCCAUCUCCGCUUUUCCAAUAGCUCAACCAUACUUCGUCCUCUUUAUUGUUAUUAUUUUUUAUUACUCCGAAAUCGUGCGCAAGAAACACUUCAAGUCUUCCCUUCAUUCGCAGUUACUUCACCCUUCCUCUAGCAUCUUUUAGCCGGAUUCCUGGUAUAUUCCCAGAGGCCGGGGGAGAGAGGACGCGGACGGCGGCUGCCCCAGCCCGGCGGAGCCGAGGGGAGCCGAGCGGAGCGCGGCACGGCGCCGCUCCAUGCCCCCGAGCGCUGGCGGGGCGCGGGGCGUGUGCCGGCGAUGCCCGGGCGGUAAGGCUGGAGCUCCCCCCGGACGGGAGGCGGCCGAUCGCUAGGCAUUUCUAGCAAGAAUCGGGACUGCAGGAUGAAUAAGAGAUACUUGCAGAAAGCAACAAAAGGAAAACUGCUAAUAAUAAUAUUUGUUGUAACGCUGUGGGGGAAAUUAGCAUCUGGGGCAAAUCAUCAUAAAGCUCACCAUGUUAAAACUGGGACCUGUGAAGUGGUGGCACUUCACAGAUGCUGCAAUAAGAAUAAGAUAGAAGAAAGAUCACAGACAGUGAAGUGUUCCUGCUUCCCUGGGCAGGUAGCAGGUACCACCCGGGCAGCUCCUUCUUGUGUUGAUGCUUCAAUAGUGGAGCAGAAAUGGUGGUGCCACAUGCAACCAUGUCUUGAAGGGGAGGAAUGUAAAGUUCUUCCAGAUCGUAAAGGAUGGAGCUGUUCCUCUGGGAAUAAAGUGAAAACAACUAGGCUGUGGCAGUAUUCCUGGAGCCAAAUGUGAGUGCACUUCCUCAAAAUGCCAGCAGUGGAAGCUGGUAAGCAAGUGGGGAAAAAUCACCAGAGGAAUCUCUGAAGCUUGGGACAAAGGCAGAAAACACAUCAGUACUGCAUUAACAGAACAGCAGGUACUCUUAUAGAGAAGAUAAAAUUACAGGCAAACGUGUAAAACUCCUCAAGUCCGAAUGGAGAAGUAGAGAAAGGAGGUUUCUGCUGUGCCUGAUGACAAUUUUUGUUUUUCCCACACACAAAAAAUAUUCUGGCUCCACGUUGGAGCACUAGUUGUGAUGAAUCCUAGUCUUGGUCGGAUUCUAAGGAAGGGCCAGAACGUUCGUUGAGGAAUAAAGAGUCAAACCACUUCAGAAAAUGUGUUCCAGCCCUGGUUUAUUACUCACAGAGCAGCAGGUAACCCGAUAGCUAAAGACAAAUCAAGCCAGUCUCAAGGCUGAUAACAUUAAAUAGAACACAUAGGAAUUUCAUUCCUCCAGGCAAUCCUUGGAGUGAAUUUUAUACUGCUGAGGUAUAUCCUUCAGAAUCAAUUGUUUCAAUGAGAACCUGGCUUGUAAUCAGCAACAGCCUUGAGAUCAAAACUACUGGAAAGUUAUUUUGAACUUCUGUGUCACAAAUAUUUCAACUGAUUGGACUGUGUACACUUGUAAAGUUGCACUUGCUGAGGAAUUUGCAGCUGUAAUCACAAGCUAAUAUUCUGAAGGUGCAGAAAAGCAGCAAACUUUUGGGUUCUCCGUUGCAGAUCAGUGGCUUUUCAUCUUGAAGAAGUCAACCUCUGAAAUGUAUUGGAUCCUUCACUCUAAAAUGAUCCUUGGUCCACUGUUCAGAUUGCUGGUGGGACUGCACAGUGCUUUAAUUAAAUUUCUGUUGCAGAAAUUGUCCUCUGGCAUGGCGCAGUUUUAGACAUUUUUAUUUGUGUUCUAAUCUUGCAGCUCUCAAAGGUACAUAUUUCAACAUCUUGAAGUUGCUUUGUUAUAGGAAUGGAAUUAUAUAUCCAUUGUUAAUAAUUAUUGUUGACAAGUAAUAGUUAUCUGAAUACAUCAGUCAUAUUAGAAUGUAUAGUCAGGAUGACAUGUUUCCCUAAGGCUAACCAACUACUGCAGCUUAACAGUUAAUGAAAGUAGUGGUCAAAAUUCAAUUACCACUUCCAUAAUGAGACAUUUUAUAUCUUUAAUAUAUACAUUUCCAUUUAGUUUGAAGGAAAUGGGUGAUUCCAACAUGUACUUUACUUUCCUCACCUUUAAUUCAUUUAAAUUGAUGGUAAAUAGUCAAUUACACUAUUUCAUCCCUUUUUUAUAAAGGUAGGCAGGGAUGUAAAUGAGUUUUGCAAUUAUAAUAUUGGAUGGUAAUCAUUCAGAAUUUUUGUCUUUUUAUUAAAAAAUAAAAUCUCUUGCUUGAACCUAAGUACUGAUGGAUGCUUAUGUAGAUGUCUGCUCAGUCUGUUUGCCAUAAAGGAAAAAGUCCUAGUGCUCUCCCAGUUUUACACUUCAUGGUAUUUUGCUUGCUUACAGUCAUCCUAUUCAGAUCUGUUUUGUUUUGUUUCUAACUUUGCCAUGUGUUGCUACAUGAAAAAAAAAAUACUCAGUAUUAAAGGCCUUAAGCAUCUUUGAGCUUUUUUCUAAGUUAUUACAGAAUGUAUAAUUUUAUACUCCAUUUAAUGUAUAUUGUACCAUCUGUAAUAUUGAUACAAAAGAAAUUUGGCAAUUCCUUUUAGUGACACUGCCUAAACAUACUGAUUAGAGGGAGUUCUUACUGUAUGCUUUGGUGAAUUGAAAUGAAAGCCACACACACUUAAUGGUAGUCAAAAAUACAAAGAUGUAAGCUUGUUUAAGUCCCAUGUGGUUACCAAACACAGCAAACAAAAAACCAAAAAAAAAAAAACCCAAGUAAAAAAAAACCCAACCCAAAACAAAAAAAAAAAAAGGAAAAAAAAAUAAUAGAAGGAAAUGGUUUAAUCAUUACAAACCACUGACAUGGCUAGUUUAGUUAUAUAUUAAGUUCUAUGAUUGAUGAACACCCUGGUGUGCUCUGCUUGUCACUGUAGCCCCUGCUGCUCCGAAACCAUUUCAUUACCUCUGCUGUAUUAUUGCACAGGAGAGUUUAAAUAAAAUAAACGGCUGUUGGGAAUAAAAUUGAGAAGUAUAUUCUAUCAUUAUUUAAUGGGAAAUAAUUUAAAAAAAUGUUGACAGAAAAAAAGUUCUUAUUUUCUGAUUUAAAUUUAAUUAUAAUAAACCGUUUGUAGCAGAAACUAGGUCUUGGUAUUUUAGGAUGGAUUAGUAUUAUAUGGAUUUGUGCUAAGAGGUUCAGAAGGGAGGUAGCAUCUUAAAGAGGUUGUCUGGGACAGUGCAAAGUGUAAAUGUGCUGUUUUGUAAAAUCUGAAUAUGACCUCUAUUUGGUCGAAAAUCUAUAUCAUGCUUCUCAAUACUUGUUUUCUUUGUUUCCUUGUUCUUAAACAGCGCUGAAAAUGCUGUAUUAUAUACAAGUGUAACACAUGCAUACCAAUAAAUGAAAAUAAAUGGAUUUUCAAAUAUA
RNA transcript from Catharus ustulatus (Swainson's thrush), 3976 nucleotides. It is a transcript of the gene named TAFA chemokine like family member 2, with no coding region annotated. The transcript has 7 exons. The record is from RefSeq and is a predicted model, not a curated record. NCBI's taxonomy places the organism in Eukaryota, Metazoa, Chordata, Aves, Passeriformes, Turdidae.